This 1002-nucleotide long non-coding RNA is filed under the name Panax ginseng (ginseng). RNAcentral describes it as "long non-coding RNA (PGIN_LNC001614)". Lineage: Eukaryota; Viridiplantae; Streptophyta; Magnoliopsida; Apiales; Araliaceae. The record is from RNAcentral.
UCCCAGCUUUUUUCUUUGUUUCUUAAUAUGGCGCAUUGCCAUGUAAUUCUUUUGUAGUUGAGAUGGACAUUAUCAUCUUAAUUAGAUAUAGUUGGCCUGUUUGAUACUAGAAAUCUGUUUUACUUAAAAACGAAUAUACUCAUAGGAGGUCAAAAUGAAGCCAGUUUGAUAUUUUAUUCUGCGACUUGCUCAUGUCAUUUAUUUAAUCCAAUUACAUUGAUAUAUGCUCACAAGGUAAUUUUGUUGGUGACCACACUACUAAUCUUCAAGCCGAUUCCUGCUUUAGUAUGUUUUGGAGUUUUGGAGUUCUGCUGCGGUGGUUCUCACAUGAUAUUCCAAAUGAGGUAAUCAUAAGAGAUUUUUCGUAGUUUAUCACAGUACACCUGCCAUAGUUUCUGUGGAGUUAUAAUAGAGUUGAGUCUUGCUAUAUAUAUGAUGAAGGAAUUGUGAACGGUCCCACCCUAAUUUAUUCUAUCUUAUCAUUUAAACUUCCACGUUAGUUGUAAUUCAACUUCAUCAUAAAUUUGUUGACAUAUAAAUCAUUUUCCAGUAGAGUUUUUUUUUUCCAUCCCAGAUUGGAUAUAAAGGAGAUAUGUUGUGGUCAAAUAGCGCUAAUCUGAUUAGUUUGAUAGUCCAUGGCUCACAUGAUUCUAAAAUUAAAUAUCCUUCCGAAAUUGCAAAUUUCAAAUUUUGUUUAAUGGGCUUUCUGUACUUUGUGGAACAGGUGUCCAAGAGCGCAAAGCAAGUCGACUGAGCAGCGAACUCUUAGUUCAUUGUACACAAAGCUCAACCCUCACCUAUAUACAUAUAUGCAUAUACUUCCGACGAAUUGAGUCAAUGAGUAAUCACUAAGUAAGACCGUAUAAAUUAGAGCACGGUGGAUAUGUAUUAGUGCAAGUAGUAUGAUCUAUAUGUGCCAAUGUAUCUUUUAUAUUUGUUUCUGGUUAUGGAGCAAUUACCUACCUACCCUGUAAAAUAGUGUUUCAUAAUGUACUUCAUGUC